CCUACGGGUGGCAGCAGUGGGGAAUAUUGGGCAAUGGGCGCAAGCCUGACCCAGCAAUGCCGCGUGAAGGAAGAAGGCUUUCGGGUUGUAAACUUCUUUGACAGGGGAAGAGCAGAAGACGGUACCCUGAAAACAAGCCACGGCUAACUACGUGCCAGCAGCCGCGGUAAUACGUAGGUGGCAAGCGUUAUCCGGAUUUAUUGGGUUUAAAGGGUGCGCAGGCGGAUUUUUAAGUCAGCGGUCAAAUCGUGGGGCUCAACCCCAUCCAGCCGUUGAAACUGGGGAUCUAGAGUGUGCGAGAGGUAUGCGGAAUGCGUGGUGUAGCGGUGAAAUGCAUAGAUAUCACGCAGAACCCCGAUUGCGAAGGCAGCAUACCGGUGCACAACUGACGCUCAGGCACGAGAGCGUGGGUAUCGAACAGGAUUAGAUACCCGUGUAGUC
This 441-nucleotide ribosomal RNA is filed under the name uncultured bacterium. Its description in RNAcentral is "partial 16S ribosomal RNA". It matches the Rfam family "Bacterial small subunit ribosomal RNA", at positions 338 to 795 of the family's 1533-position model. The record is from RNAcentral.